This 379-nucleotide ribosomal RNA is filed under the name uncultured cyanobacterium. RNAcentral describes it as "bacterial SSU rRNA". It matches the Rfam family "Bacterial small subunit ribosomal RNA", at positions 376 to 770 of the family's 1533-position model. Lineage: Bacteria; Bacillati; Cyanobacteriota. The record is from RNAcentral.
CGAAAGCCUGACGGAGCAAUACCGCGUGAGGGAGGAAGGUUCUUGGAUUGUAAACCUCUUUUCUUAGGGAAGAAGUACUGACGGUACCUAAGGAAUAAGCAUCGGCUAACUCCGUGCCAGCAGCCGCGGUAAUACGGAGGAUGCGAGCGUUAUCCGGAAUCAUUGGGCGUAAAGAGUCUGUAGGUGGCACUUCAAGUCUGCUGUCAAAGACCGAAGCUUAACUUCGGAAAGGCGGUGGAAACUGAAGAGCUAGAGUAAAGCAGGGGUAGAGGGAAUUCCCAGUGUAGCGGUGAAAUGCGUAGAGAUUGGGAAGAACACCAGUGGCGAAGGCGCUCUACUGGGCUAAAACUGACACUGAGAGACGAAAGCUAGGGUAGCG